GGGCGUGUGGCGGAACUGGCAUACGCGCGUGGCUUAGGACCACGUUCCUUCACCGGAUUGAGGGUUCGACUCCCUCCACGCCCA
This 84-nucleotide transfer RNA is filed under the name Candidatus Doudnabacteria bacterium CG10_big_fil_rev_8_21_14_0_10_41_10. RNAcentral's name for it is "tRNA-Leu". It matches the Rfam family "tRNA". From Rfam's summary of the family: Transfer RNA (tRNA) molecules are approximately 80 nucleotides in length. Their secondary structure includes four short double-helical elements and three loops (D, anti-codon, and T loops). Further hydrogen bonds mediate the characteristic L-shaped molecular structure. tRNAs have two regions of fundamental functional importance: the anti-codon, which is responsible for specific mRNA codon recognition, and the 3' end, to which the tRNAs corresponding amino acid is attached (by aminoacyl-tRNA synthetases). tRNAs cope with the degeneracy of the genetic code in two manners: having more than one tRNA (with a specific anti-codon) for a particular amino acid; and 'wobble' base-pairing, i.e. permitting non-standard base-pairing at the 3rd anti-codon position. The record is from RNAcentral. Lineage: Bacteria; Candidatus Doudnaibacteriota.